This is a long non-coding RNA of Balaenoptera musculus (blue whale), 296 nucleotides long. RefSeq lists it as uncharacterized. Lineage: Eukaryota; Metazoa; Chordata; Mammalia; Artiodactyla; Balaenopteridae. The transcript has 2 exons. The record is from RefSeq and is a predicted model, not a curated record.
AAAGUCCUCUGCAUGUGCCCCAGGGAUCAAGACUGGAAGCUGCCUACCUUCUUCUAAGUGUGGAUUUCGAAGCCUUCGUAUGAUGGAGAAAGACACCUCUUCCAGGUGGAUGCAGCCGUGCUCCUGGACGCACUCCAUGGGCACUCCACCUUCUAACAAUGUGGCUGAUUUGUUUGGAAUGAGCCUCCAUAUACACCCUUCUAAGAAACUGAAACAAGUUCUCAAGCAGUACUGAAAAUAAGGAGGAAAAUUUCUUUUCAAAAUUUCUAGAGUUAAAAUAAAACCUGUUCACCCUC